UAGGGAAUCUUCCACAAUGGACGCAAGUCUGAUGGAGCAACGCCGCGUGAGUGAAGAAGGUUUUCGGACCGUAAAGCUCUGUUGUUGGUGAAGAAGGAUAGAGGUAGUAACUGGCCCUUUAUUUGACGGUAAUCAACCAGAAAGUCACGGCUAACUACGUGCCAGCAGCCGCGGUAAUACGUAGGUGGCAAGCGUUGUCCGGAUUUAUUGGGCGUAAAGCGAGCGCAGGCGGAAGAAUAAGUCUGAUGUGAAAGCCCUCGGCUUAACCGAGGAAUUGCAUCGGAAACUGUUUUCUUGAGUGCAGAAGAGGAGAGUAGAACUCCAUGUGUAGCGGUGGAAUGCGUAGAUAUAUGGAAGAAUACCAGUGGCGAAGGCGGCUCUCUGGUCUGCAACUGACGCUGAGGCUCGAAAGCAUGGGUAGCGAACAGGAUUAGAUACCCUUGGUAGUCCAUACCGUAA
This 459-nucleotide ribosomal RNA is filed under the name uncultured bacterium. Its description in RNAcentral is "partial 16S ribosomal RNA". It matches the Rfam family "Bacterial small subunit ribosomal RNA", at positions 355 to 805 of the family's 1533-position model. The record is from RNAcentral.